RNAcentral lists this microRNA precursor (59 nucleotides) under Macaca mulatta (Rhesus monkey). Lineage: Eukaryota; Metazoa; Chordata; Mammalia; Primates; Cercopithecidae. The record is from RNAcentral.
AGAGGAUACCCUUUGUAUGUUCACUUGAUUAAUGGUGAAUAUACAGGGGGAGACUCUUA